UAUGAAUACAACAUUUCAUUUUAUGUUUAACAUGUCUCUUGUGAAUACGAAUUUUCCUCGUUUUGAAUACGACUUCUCUCUGUCUGGGAUACGGAUUUCUUUACCUAACUGUCAAAACUACGUCACGGGGUCACAGGCUUAUGCAUCGAGUGCCGGAACAUCAAGCAGCCGAGCCGGCAAACGACGCAUGCGCACUGAGGACUCCUCCCCUAAUUCUGAAUUUGAGCUGGGAAAACGUCAGGGAUUAAAGAAAACGGACACAUUGUCAAUGGAGAACAACCAGGACAAUCCUGGAGAAAAUGGAUCUGCUGGAGAAGUACAGCAGUGGGUGAAAGAGAGGAGAGUGGAGAAAGAGAAGGAAGGAGUGAGCCACCGGCUGAAAGAAGAAAAAUAAGAAGAAACAGUGAUGAGCUUCUAGACCUAAGCAGAGGACAUGAGGCAGAAGAGCAGAGCGCACGAGAGAGGAGGGAAACUUUUGACCAACUUUAGUCUGCUGGAAAAAAUUGCCGUUAAAAUCCUUAGAUGUCUGAGAAUAAAUAAAUGACGUUUAUAUUUGAUAUAUUAAAAAUGUUUGUUUUUGUUUUGUUAAUUUAAAUAAAGAUCUAAAUCAAACACA
This is a long non-coding RNA of Oryzias melastigma (Indian medaka), 616 nucleotides long. RefSeq lists it as uncharacterized. Lineage: Eukaryota; Metazoa; Chordata; Actinopteri; Beloniformes; Adrianichthyidae. The transcript has 2 exons. The record is from RefSeq and is a predicted model, not a curated record.